This 253-nucleotide ribosomal RNA is filed under the name uncultured bacterium. RNAcentral describes it as "partial 16S ribosomal RNA". It matches the Rfam family "Bacterial small subunit ribosomal RNA", at positions 524 to 776 of the family's 1533-position model. The record is from RNAcentral.
UACGUAGGGUGCAAGCGUUGUCCGGAAUUAUUGGGCGUAAAGAGCUCGUAGGCGGUCUGUCGCGUCGGCUGUGAAAACCCGGAGCUCAACUCCGGGCCUGCAGUCGAUACGGGCAGACUGGAGUUCGGCAGGGGGGACUGGAAUUCCUGGUGUAGCGGUGAAAUGCGCAGAUAUCAGGAGGAACACCGGUGGCGAAGGCGGGUCUCUGGGCCGAUACUGACGCUGAGGAGCGAAAGCGUGGGGAGCGAACAGG